UACGAAGGGGGCUAGCGUUGCUCGGAAUUACUGGGCGUAAAGCGCACGUAGGCGGCUUUCUAAGUCGGGGGUGAAAUCCUGGAGCUCAACUCCAGAACUGCCUUCGAUACUGGAGAGCUUGAGUCCGGGAGAGGUGAGUGGAACUGCGAGUGUAGAGGUGAAAUUCGUAGAUAUUCGCAAGAACACCAGUGGCGAAGGCGGCUCACUGGCCCGGUACUGACGCUGAGGAGCGAAAGCCAGGGGAGCAAACGGG
This 253-nucleotide ribosomal RNA is filed under the name uncultured bacterium. RNAcentral's name for it is "partial 16S ribosomal RNA". It matches the Rfam family "Bacterial small subunit ribosomal RNA", at positions 524 to 776 of the family's 1533-position model. The record is from RNAcentral.